GUGAAGCAUCAAAUUUUUGAACGCAAAUUGGGCUUGCUGGUAUCGCGGGAAGUAUGCCUGUUUGAGGGGCAGUAUUAACAAAAAAUCGGUUUGGUUGCAAAGUGUGACGUUUACGGAGUUUGGGCUUAUCUUAACUUUUUGGGUUAAGGGGCUUAAAAUUGACCUUUUUUGAGCAUUUUUAGAAGUACAUAAAUUUUGUUUUAUUCGUCUAUUGUUAAGGACAAAAUUUUAUUAGAUGCGAUCACAUCGUGUGGCUUCGUGUCCAUAAAAUUUUCAUGAUUUGAC
Molecule: unclassified non-coding RNA, 285 nt
Filed under: Glomeraceae sp.
Lineage: Eukaryota; Fungi; Glomeromycota; Glomeromycetes; Glomerales; Glomeraceae
Description: partial internal transcribed spacer 2
Source: RNAcentral